This 165-nucleotide ribosomal RNA is filed under the name uncultured bacterium. RNAcentral's name for it is "partial 16S rRNA". It matches the Rfam family "Bacterial small subunit ribosomal RNA", at positions 355 to 511 of the family's 1533-position model. The record is from RNAcentral.
UAGGGAAUCUUCCACAAUGGGCGAAAGGCCUGAUGGAGCAACGCCGCGUGUGUGAUGAAGGGUUUCGGCUCGUAAAACACUGUUGUAAGAGAAGAAUGACAUUGAGAGUAACUGUUCAAUGUGUGACGGUAUCUUACCAGAAAGGAACGGCUAAAUACGUGCCAG